Non-coding RNA from Gymnothorax javanicus (giant moray), 73 nucleotides. The record is from the annotation of a GenBank genome assembly. NCBI's taxonomy places the organism in Eukaryota, Metazoa, Chordata, Actinopteri, Anguilliformes, Muraenidae.
GCCCCGGUGGCUUAGUGGUAAUGCACCCACCUGCAAUGUGAGAGACCUGGGUUCGGAACUCACCAUUGGUGCC